Molecule: long non-coding RNA, 493 nt
Organism: Cercocebus atys (sooty mangabey)
Lineage: Eukaryota; Metazoa; Chordata; Mammalia; Primates; Cercopithecidae
Exons: 3
Source: RefSeq, a predicted model, not a curated record
UACAAAUUCAUCCAUGCUUGGCACACCAGGAGCUCUGCAGCAAGGUUCUGAAGCAAGGAAAAUCAGUUGUAUUUAAACGACGACAAAUAGUGUCUCCUGAGCUGCUCAUAGCCAAGAAAUCACUCUGGCCUCAUUCUUAAAAUAAGAUAUUUGGUUAGAACUAUUGAUUGUUUUCACUUUUGUUACCUUAGCAGAAUGACGCAUCAUCCAUCAAAAAUGUGAGUGUGAGGAUGGUGGGACCAUUCUGGCACGCUUGAGCAGCAGGGCCCUCUGAGCCCUCAGAUGUCGUCUAGCCAGGUGUGUGGGGGCCACUUGCCAUGCGCAGCUUCUCUCAGCAGAGGCUGACCAGAAUGGUGGUGAUAUGAAGAGUUGGGGAAUUCAGCUUGAAUACAAAACAUAAUACUGCUUCCACUUAAAAAGGCAAUGACAAUAGCUACCUCCUUCCAUUGUCCUGUUGGUGAACCAUACUCGAACAAAAAGGAGAAAUAAGACU